AUCAGAUGUAUGAUUUGGGAAAACUAAUAAAAUUAGCUGUAACGUAAUUUUUUAAGUUAAUCCAAUGUCCUCCCAACCACAAGCACGACUGUCUGCUCUCAGUAUCUGAACUCAGGGGCUGGAGGUCUCGGCGCUGCAUUUAUCCACGAGAAACACAAACACACCAUCAAACCUGCGUGAGAGCUUUUUUCUUCUAAAUGUUUAAAGUUUCAGGUUUGUUUUUCAUUUCUGAUCGAGCUGCUGUCAUCAUGUUAACAUCCUGAUUGUUCUUCAGGCUGAUGGGAUGGUGGGGACACAACCUGGACACUCGCUUCCAGAUGAGCAACGCGUUGGAGCUGCAGCCCGGAGUGCGCGGCUUCAGACUGUCCAACCAGCCCAUCCUGCUGGUCUGCCCCCUGCAGGCCAGUCUGGAGGUGUUCAACAUGACCAGUAUGCAGGCGCUGCGCAGGAAGUCCGUCCUGCUGACGGGUUACCUGGAGUACCUGAUCCAACAGUAUUACACCAAAGACGCGGCGCAGCCUCACAAACCUCACGUCAGCAUCAUCACACCCUCCGACCCUCAGCAGAGAGGCUGCCAGCUCUCACUCUGCUCUCCAUCCACAUCCAGAAGGUCUUCCAGGAAUUGGAGAAGAGGGGCGUCGCUGUGAGUAGAUCCUCAAUAAAGAAAUCUCAUUAUUGUUUCCCUGUUCAUGAU
RNAcentral lists this long non-coding RNA (694 nucleotides) under Sparus aurata (gilthead seabream). RNAcentral describes it as "lncRNA (ENSSAUG00010017064.1)". The record is from RNAcentral. Lineage: Eukaryota; Metazoa; Chordata; Actinopteri; Spariformes; Sparidae.